GGGGCCGUAGUUCAGCUGGGAGAACGCUUGACUGGCAGUCAAGAGGUCAGGGGUUCGAGCCCCCUCGGCUCCACCA
This 76-nucleotide transfer RNA is filed under the name Candidatus Zixiibacteriota bacterium. RNAcentral's name for it is "tRNA-Ala". It matches the Rfam family "tRNA". Rfam says of the family: Transfer RNA (tRNA) molecules are approximately 80 nucleotides in length. Their secondary structure includes four short double-helical elements and three loops (D, anti-codon, and T loops). Further hydrogen bonds mediate the characteristic L-shaped molecular structure. tRNAs have two regions of fundamental functional importance: the anti-codon, which is responsible for specific mRNA codon recognition, and the 3' end, to which the tRNAs corresponding amino acid is attached (by aminoacyl-tRNA synthetases). tRNAs cope with the degeneracy of the genetic code in two manners: having more than one tRNA (with a specific anti-codon) for a particular amino acid; and 'wobble' base-pairing, i.e. permitting non-standard base-pairing at the 3rd anti-codon position. RNAcentral also lists the same sequence under 1 other name. Lineage: Bacteria; Pseudomonadati; Candidatus Zixiibacteriota. The record is from RNAcentral.